GGCAGGAAAGCUCUGACGGUAGAACACGAGACUCUUAAUCUCAGGGUUGUGGGUUCAAGCCCCACGUUAGACCA
Non-coding RNA from Podarcis lilfordi (Lilford's wall lizard), 74 nucleotides. NCBI's taxonomy places the organism in Eukaryota, Metazoa, Chordata, Lepidosauria, Squamata, Lacertidae. The record is from the annotation of a GenBank genome assembly.